UUUUUUUUUUUGGGUUUCCUUGGUUAAAACUCUCGUUUCCUUCUAUAAAGUUCAGUUAUGCUCUUCAUGCAGCAUGCAUGCUGUGAAGAAUGGAAUCACAUUUUUUUACGUGUGUCGACAUGCAUGCUUCUCCAUGUGUUGCCGGCUAGGGUUUGAGGAGUGUAUGUGGCUUUGGGUUGGGGUGGGUGGGGCUGCGGAUGGUGUGUUGGGAUACUUUCUGUAAAAAUAAAAAACAAAUUCUGAUUUUAAUUACUUGCGCAUGCCUAAUCAAAAGUUCUGCUUUGUCUCGAGAAUACAUGCAUAGCACUUUAGGGGAAAAUGCUAAAACAUUCGAGAGAAAAUCGUAUUCCCAAAUCAGUUAACACAGAUAAAUAACAUGUACCUACGCAUACAGGAUAGGUUAAUAACAUAUACCUACUAUAUACCUAACCACAUAAGAUAGAAUAAUAUCAUAUUUAUACCUAAGCAUACAAGAAAAACAAACGCAUUUGGCGGAUUGAACUUGUAGCUAGGGAUGGCAUUUCAUUCGUACAAACCAAUUUGGGCAAGAUUUAAAUAUAGAUAUUGAGUAUGGGGACGGAUUAUCGGGAAACUGAAAAUUUUCCAAGCCGUUUGGGAUAUGGUUAUGCGAAUAGGGAUACUGUACCAGUAACCAUCACGUUUCUAUAUUUUCUAAAAUUUUAUAUGAAUGUAUAAUUUUAUAUAUUUUAGUCAUAACUUUUCUUUAACCAUUUUUUCUUUUUCUUUAAUUACGAGAAAAUAACAUUUUUUAUUGGUGAAAUCGAUAAACCCAUUAACCUCUACGGGAUCCAUAACCUUUGCGUGUGGUUAUGGAGAUUACCCUAUGGUUAACAUAUAGUUAUGGUUGUGAGUAAUUUUUGCAGUUACAAGGAUGGAAAUGACACAUCUGUCUCCAUUCCGAACGUUGUCAUUCCUAUAUUGGAGUAUAUUCUACCUAUUUACGUACAACCUACUUAUAUUAGAAGUGGUUAGCAAGGUGUUCAAAUAGUUGCCCUCUUACACAAUAAAUCAGUCUCUUGUCACAAGUGCAUAUGUGUGACAAUUGUUUUUGUAUGAAUUAAUAUAUAUUUUUAUUUUAAUUUAGAAACUGAUUUAUAUUGUUUAUUAAAAAAGAAAAUAAAGCAGCCCAUGAAACCAACUGCGUGGGUUUUUUUAAAUUUCUAUUUAACCUAUUCUGAUUCAAUUGUGAUUUUUGGAGUUCUAAGUUAGGGCCGGAAAUUUUUUUUUAUAUUUUGAAUGUUUCAUCAAAUUGUGUCUCUCUUUAUAUAUAUAGAAAUUUAAAGUCUAAAAUAAAGAAAAUAAAAAUAAUCAAUAUCCAAAAACAAUAAAAGUACAUGUAAUUGCAAUCUUCAGGUUGCAAUAAAAAAAAGUUCGGAAAUCAUGUUGGUAAUUUCAAUUCUAGGGUCGUUAACUUUUGGCUAAUUAUGAUUAGCUUACACAUUAUAAUUCACUAAAGUCAAUGACUUUUCAAUUUAAAAUUUAAAAGUCUACUUAUAAUUUUUGUCAAGUGAAGAUACAAGACGUAUUAGUUGUGAAGAAAUUAAUCCUCCCAAUUCUCACAAAACUAUAAUAGGGAUUGGAAAGAAUAAAAGAUGAGUUUUAGACUAUAAUCUUAUGUAAGAUUGAAAUCCAAAUUUUAUCUAUAUAGUUAAUCAUCUCAUUUAUUAAUUAUAUUUUGAUGUUUUAUUUCUUUUUUUCUUCCUAAUUUUACAUUUAAAUUUUAUUUCAUUCAUCACAAUAUAUUUUUUUGUAGGCAUUUAGGUAAACUAAUUUUCUUAUAUAAUAUAUUCUUAUACAAUCUGUAUCUUCUUCAUUUAGGUAUAUUAAUUCAUUUGAUAUAUUUUGGUCCAUCAUCAUCACGAAUAUACUUAGGUACAUUAGUUCAAGGUUUUUUAGCCAAAAUGGUCCCUGAGAUUUGCAUAACACAUAACUUUGGAUCCUGAAAUUUAAAAUCAAUAGAAGUGAUCUCUGAGAUUGUCCACCAUCCAUUAUUUUGGUCUUUCCAUUAAAAAACUCCGUUAAGUGGUCCCUGAGCUUUUUAAUGGAAUGACCAAAAUGAUGGAUGGUGGAUAAUCUCAGGGACCAAAGUUAUGUAUUAUGCAAAUCUCAGGGACCAAAAUUAUGUGUUAUGCAAAUCUCAGGGACCAAGUUAUGUGUUAUACCCUCAACUUAACAGAGUUUUUUAACGGAAUGACCAAAAUAAUGGAUGGUGGACAAUCUCAGGGACCACUUAUAUUGAUUUUAAAUCUCAGGAUCCAAAGUUAUGUGUUAUGCAAAUCUCAGGGACCAUUUUGACUAAAAAGCCUUAGUUCAAUAUAUUACAUUCUAGUACAUACAUUUUGAUACACACAUUUCGAUAUUUACAUUUAGGUACAUUAGUUCAAAUAACACAUUUCGGUAUUGACAUUUAAGUAUAUUUAUUUAAUAUAAUACAUUUCGGUACAUACAUUCAUGUUCAUUAUAAUAUAUUUAGAUACAAACAUUUAGGUACAAAAGUUUUGGUACAAAGAAAUCAAUUUAAUAUAUUUUUGUACACUUAUGUAUUUACAUAUUUCUGUGUCACUAAUUUCUUUUAAUAUCUUCUCAUUUACGUUCAUUUAUAAUUGAAAGAACUAAUAUGUGCAUAUUAAUUAAAUUGAAAUUUUAACGUGGAGACAUUAAAAAAUACACUUUAAAUAAAAAAUAGAAUAUAAAUUUUAAUAAAACUGCAUUUCAAAGGAUUAAAUUGAGUAUAUACUCUAACACCAAUUUAUUUAGUUUUUAUCUUUUUGAAGAACUAAUUAAUGUUCAAAAACCCCAUCCAAUAUCUAACUUCACCUGAACAAUGUGCAACUGGACAUCCAACUUUUCAGCAAAUCUAGUGAAUAUUUUUUCAAUGUCAAAUAAACAACAAAGGAAACCAAAAAACCUAAACUUAACUUGAAAAUUGUCAUCACAUUGAGGUGAUGAAUUAAGAAAGUAACUUCAUGAGCAUGCAUGGUUAUUUCUACCUUGAAAACUGUUAACAUUAAUUUUGGCAAAGAUGUUGCUAGCUUAAUUUGUAACAAAAAAAAGAGAUAAAUGUUGCUUGCUUUAUCUGAUGAGAACACUCAUGAAUAUGGUCAAACAUUUCUUACCCCUUAAAUUCUUGUAGUGCAUGCGCAUGCUAUAUAUAGUGGAAUGCGGUCCCGAUUGGAUUUACAGUAUAAAGAUGUCAUUUAUUUAUUUUGUCUGAAAAGAAGAAAAAAGUCUGCUAUAUCGAAUAAAGAUAGAAAAUAAACAAAUAAAUAAAUGCUUUCACGUGUACUACGUAGUCCCUCUAUCUAUAUAAACCCCAUGCAAUAUGCAGGCAAGAACCAACCUAGUUAUCUCGACCAUCAAAAACCCUUGUAAAUUAUGGCAAUGCAGUUAGGCUCUUUGCUCGUAUGUGUGGUACUACUCACUGGCUUUUCAUUGACAAAUAGCAAAGCUGAAACUACAUAUCCACCCGUCCAUUGUGACAUUCUCAACCGUAGCAGUUUUGAACCAGGGUUUAUAUUUGGUACAGCUUCAUCUGCUUACCAGGUCAGUAUGUUGGUGCUUUAACUCAUUAUAAUUUUUUGUUUAUUCGGAGUUUCAUAUAAUACUGAGGUUUAGAUUAAUUUCAAUGUCAGAAACAAUUAGUAUAUAUCAUAUUGACAUCUUCAUUUUGAAUGUAAUUUCAUAUAUGCAUGUACAUUUCAGGUAGAAGGUGCAUGGAAGGAAGGUGGUAGAGGACCAAGCAUAUGGGACACCUUCACCCACAACCAUCCAGGUUUCUGUAUUCUGUUCAUUUACUAGUGACAUGGUAUGAUUUCCACCAACUGUAUGCUUUAAGUAGUAAAACAUUUCUAUGUUUAAUUACAGAAAAAAUUAUGGAUGGCAGCAAUGGAGAUGUCGCUAUUGAUCAAUACCACCGUUAUAAGGUUGCAAAAUCACGGAAUUUUAUUCCCCACCAAAGUUUGGAUCCUUGGGAUCUUUAAUAAUUUAGCUUCUUUCAUAAAAUUAUGUAUAUUUUUGUGUCAUUACAGGAAGAUGUGAGGAUUAUGAAGGAUAUGGGAAUGGAUGCUUAUAGAUUUUCUAUUUCAUGGUCAAGAGUUUUACCAAGUAAAGUUGAUCAUCGACAUCCAUAUAUAUUCGAUUUGAGACCAGUCACUUUAUAGUUUAACUUGUUCUUAACUUAAUUUCUAUUAAUUUAUUUAGAUGCAUAUUUGAUUGUUUAGUUGUAAUUGCUAGAUGGAACGUUGUCUGGGGGUGUUAACACGAAGGGAAUUGAAUACUACAACAAUCUCAUCGAUGAACUCCUAGACAAUGGUGAUACAACUGUCUGAUCUCAUACAUUAUCCAAUUAAUUAAUAAAUAAUAAGUGUUUACAUGCACUCACAAAACAUCACCUAAUAAUCUAACUUUUCAUUUUCUUCUAUUGAUAAUUAUGCUAUAUAUAUAUAUAUAUAUAUAGGUCUAAAGCCAUUUGUGACAAUCUUUCACUGGGAUGUUCCCCAAACUUUAGAAGAUGAAUAUGGUGGUUUCUUAAGCUCUCGAAUUGUGUAAGUGAACAAAAUCUAUCCUACGUAUAAUGUUGAUAAUUUAUUUUAAACAAAUCAUACAAAUUAAUUAACAAAUGAUUACGCUUGUGAAAUGUGUAUGCAUAUAGCGAUCACUUUAAGGACUAUGCAGAAUUAUGUUUUAAGUAUUUUGGCGAUCGAGUAAAACAUUGGAUCACAGUGAACGAGCCAUAUACAUUUACUACAAAUGGUUAUGCAACUGGAAAACACGCACCAGGACGAUGCUCUGCAUGGCAAAACUUAAACUGCACUGAUGGAAAUUCGGCUACUGAGCCAUAUUUGGUGACACACCACCAACUCCUUGCUCAUGGAGCUGCUGUAAAACUGUACAAGGAUAAAUAUCAGGUCCAGUUGAUUAAAUUUCUUUUGUUAGUCCUAACUGAUAAUUUAUACGAGUCAGUACUAUUAAGUUACAAUAUAAUAGGAAAACAAUUUGUAUAGUAAGAUAUACAAAGUUUGUACCUUUUAUAGCUCUAAAUCAACAAAUGUUCUUGAUUUUCUUUUAUAGGAAUGCCAAAAUGGUGUCAUAGGAAUAACGUUGGUGUCACCUUGGUUUGAACCCUCUUCGAAGGCAAAGCAUGAUAUAGAUGCUGCAUUUCGAUCUUUGGAUUUUGUGUUUGGAUGGCAAGUGUAUUUAUUAAUAUAUUCAUAUUUUUUAUCAGCAUAUUUAUAUUUGUUUUGUUUUUAUGAUUAUAACAUUGAUUAGCUGCUAGUAGUACUCUAUAUAAUAUUUAGAAGUUCAUUCUUGGAAUUUCCAUAUUUUUUUUAGGUAUAUGGACCCAUUGACGAAUGGUGACUAUCCACACAGCAUGCGGAGUCUUGUUAAAGAACGAUUGCCAAAAUUUACAGACGAAGAAUCAAAGUUAAUAAAUGGGUCAUUUGAUUUUAUUGGAGUAAAUUACUAUACUGCUAGAUAUGCGAGCAAAUUACUUCAAAAUUCUUCUGAACCUGCAAGCUACUUAUCAGAUCCUUGUGUUAAUAUUACAGGUGAUUACAAAUUGAAAACCUUUUUGACCAAUUAAUUAAGGUCUCUUAAAAGAUUAAUUUAGAUUCUAAUGUUGAUCAUAUUUAUAUAAUGUGUUGUGGCAGCUGAGCGUAAUAAUAAGUCGAUUGGUCUGCAGGUACACAUCAACUUAUUAGCUUAAGCUAUUAAAAUUUAGAGGAUUUAUUAAUAAAUUGAUUUUCCACCCAAAAUAUUAUAACAGUUAUUUUUUUCUAUGAUGUUGCAGGCUGGUUCAGACUGGUUAUAUGUUUACCCAAAAGGAAUUCACGAUCUGGUGGUCUAUACAAUGAAAAAGUAUAAUGACCCAUUCAUUUACAUUACUGAGAAUGGUAACUAUUACUUUUAAACAAUUAAUUACAUUUAUCAAAUUGUCACAUAUAUAAUGGCAUAAAAUACAAUUACUUGUUUUAAAAUCUAAAUUAUUAUGGCUAACUACGUAAUAUGAGUCGAGCCAAUUUCUCGAAAGAUUUUUCAAUGUAACCGGCAUACGAUAUGAUACACCACGUGUCACUAUACAAAUAAUGAAAUAUGUGUGUUAAAAAGUUAAUAACUUAAUAAAUGCAUUAUAUUGUAGGGAUUGAUGAGGUCAAUGAUCCCAACUUACCACUUGAGGAAGCCCUUAAUGAUAUCGCUAGAAUCGACUACUACCGCGAGCACCUCUGUUACCUUCGAGCAGCUAUCAAGUAAGUGUAUAUAUGUCACUCUUACAUUUUGGUUAAUCAUUAUAUUGAUAUCAACGCAAUUUAUUAUUCCUUCUUAUCUCUCUCUCUUUUUUUCUUUUUUUUGGUUGGAUGCAGGAAAGGUGUUAAAGUUAAAGGAUACUUUGCAUGGUCAGUGCUAGACAACUUUGAAUGGAAUGAUGGAUACACAGUUCGAUUUGGUAUCAAAUUUGUAGAUUACGAUCAUGGACUAAGGAGGUACUCAAAGAAAUCGACAUAUUGGUUCAAACGUUUCCUCAACAAAGCUGGAAGAAAUCUGAAUAUUGUGGACAGCAACGUCGUUGACACUAAAUUUGUGUAUGAAGUUUAAAUUUCAAAUGAUGAAUAAAGUAGAACUCCUCUAUUGGUUGUUCUACAAGUUUCUAGCUUUUAUAGUUUAGCACUUUGAGUUAGAAUAAGUUGCAACAAUUCAUUUCAUUAUCAGUUUGUUGAAUGUGUUGCUGGUGUGUGUCGUAUUUGUAUUGCCAUAUGGCUAGUACCCCUUUGUGGUUGAAUUUUAUAUGAAUGUAAUGUACUCUUUAUGAAAAUAAAUUAUUGUUGAGUGUUCAAUUAAACAGCCACUGAUAAUCAAUGGCCUUUGGCCUAUGGUACUCACCCACAGUGGCCUUUGACAAAAAAUUGCCACAGAUAAUUAAUCAAUGCCCUUAGGCCACAUUAUCUCUACUAGUGGUUCCUAAGCAAAAUAUACUACGACAUCUAAUUGUUUUAGCUUGUAAUAAAUUAUCUGUCAAUCUAUAAACUUAAAUUCUUUAUAAUCGCGCUUAUUAAUAAAAGAUUUAAAAAAUUAAGUGAGUAUAGUUAAUUUGAAUGUCAGAGAAUUUAAAAAAAAAAUUAAGUGAAAGAUUUCAAAUGACGGUAGAAUCCUUACAACUUUCAUAAGAUUUUUCAAGAAUUCUUAUGGACUUUGAUUAAAGACUUGAAUAGAAUUGAAGAGACUUUCUUAUUAUUUAAAAAAUUAUUUUUCAAAUUAAAAAUAAGAUAAAAAAAUAAAACUUGAAAAAUUUUAUGAAGACCACUUUUACCCGACCAACUUCUACCGUGAGCACCUCUUUUAUCUUCAAGCAUCUAUUACGUAAGUGUGUAUAUAUAUGUCACUCUUUCAUUUUGGUUAAUCAUUACAUUGAUGUGUAAGACCCUUAAUCAUAAUCACCAAGACCAAAACAUGAACUACAACUUAGAGAGAAAUAUUCAAUUUAUGUAUCUGAGAAACACAGCAAGAAUAACAUACCUGCACUUGUAGCAGAACCCGAAGCCAUAGCAGCAAACUUUCAAUGUACCUUCUCUUCUCUCGCAGGUUAUCAAGAGCUCGACUUAUAAAUAGGAUUAAGUCCAGAAUAUGAGCCUUACUCUGUGAGAAGAGAGGCCACUAUAUAUAUACAUAUAAUCUUUACCAUAACUGAUUAGGAUUCCCUAUCAAAAUCCAUGUAGGAAACAAAUUCUUGUCUCCUUGUUCUGAUCUUCAUGCUGUACAGAAUCCCUCUUCAUAAGGGAUUAGCAUUCCUUUUAUUAACAAGACUUUUCUAUCCAAUUGAACACAUAUAGCCGGUCCUAAAACUCCUCUAUCUCAUACUCACAUUCUUACAUUCUCCCACUUGAGUAUGAGAACAGCUUUAAGUACUCAGCCAAGUCAAUUAUGUGCAGAUAGAAGUGAUCACUAAUCUUGUUAAUAAAAUUUCAAUCACAACCAACUAUCAUACAUCUCAAAAUGCAGAACGCUUGUAACUGUAUUACCACAAUAAAGCAAACAGGUUUUCAAGAGUUACAGACAUUCAAUUUGUAUGCUCAACGUUGUGAAUUUGAUCAAUAUCAGCAAUAAGCAAAAUAAUUUGCUCCCACUAUUUCAAAUCAUUGUCAGCAAGAUGUGAAACAAAUCUUUGCUUCAAAACAAUGCAUGAAUCAACAAUUCAUCACUAAAUGCUUUAAACGGAGAAACCAUUAUAAAAGCAACAAAUGAAUUAUAUCAAACUUUAUUUUGUUCGAAACAAUAGAUCAUCAUAACUGAUCUCAAUUCGAUAAAAUAAACAAAACAAACUAACAAACCUAAUACUAUCCAGCCAUAAGAUUUUAAAUUUGAAAUUUGAAACCUGUCUAUAUCACCACACCAGCUCUCUGAACUUCACAGCAGCGAAUAAACAGUCAUAAUAAGACUAACGAAUUACUCCCACUGAUCAAAGGAUUCAAGUAUUCCCAUCCGAGAGACAUGCGUUUUAAAUACUCCAAUCGGCAAUGCUUUAGUCAAAGGAUCCGCAAUCAUUGCAUUUGUGCUUAAGUGCUCCACCUGAAUUGCUCCUUCUCUAACCUUUUCUCGGACCUUGAGGAAUUUUACAUCCAUCAGUCUUGAAGCUGAAGUUCUCUUAUUGUUCUUGCUAAAAAAUACUGCAGAAUUGUUAUCACAAUACAUCAUGAUAGGCCUCUGCACAGAAUUUACAACUUUCAAAUCUGUCACAAAGUUUUUCAACCAUACAGCUUGUUUCAUUCCUUCAAAACAAGCUAUAAAUUCUGCCUCCAUUGUCGAUGUUGCGAUGAUAGUCUGUUUUGCACUUUUCCAGGAGACUGCACCACCACUUAGCAUAAAGAUAUAACCUCCAGUAGAUUUCCUAUCAUCUACAUCACCGGCUAAAUCAGAAUCAGUGUAUCCAACUAACUCCAAUAGCUCAUUCCUGCCAUAAACCAACAUAUAGUUCUUGGUUCUUUGCAAGUAUCUCAAAACUUUCUUUGCUGCUACCCAAUGUGUCUUUCCUGGAUUUGCUUGAAACCUGCCCAACAUUCCAACUAUAAAAGCAAUGUCCGGUCUUGUGCAAAUAGUGGUAUACAUCAAACUUCCCACUAAUGAAGCAUAAGGCUUAUUCUUCAUUUUAUCUAUCUCCAUAGGCGUCUUAGGACAUUGAGCCUUUGAGAAUCUGUCUCCCUUGUUUACUGGCAUUUCACCAUUACUGCAGCUUGACAUAUUGAACCUCAUGAGUACCCUUUCUAUGUAUCUCUUUUGUGAUAAACCGAGUAAAUUUCUUGAUCUAUCUCGAACAAUUUCAAUACCAAGUACAUAGUGUGCUUCACCAAGGUCCUUCAUUUCAAAAUUCUUACUGAGCAUGGUCUUAGUGUCUUUGAGCAGCUUCAUGUUAGAACUGGCAAGAAGGAUGUCAUCGACAUAUAACACUAAAAAUAUAAAACUAGUGCCUGAAAACUUAACAUAGAUGCAAUCAUCUAAUUUGUUUUCCACAAAACCUUGUCCUGUAACUACUUGAUCAAACUUUAAGAACCAUUGUCUUGAUGCCUGUUUAAGCCCGUAGAUUGACUUGUUAAGUUUACAAACCAUGUCUGCUUUCCCCUUUUCAACGAAUCCAGGAGGCUGCUUCAUGUAAAUGUCUUCGGCCAGUUCACCAUUAAGAAAGGCAGUUUUGACAUCCAUUUGAUGCAGUUCCAGAUUGUAAUGAGCCACAAGUGCCAUGAUAACCCUCAUAGAAUCCUUGGAAGAGACGGGAGAAAAGGUGUCAUUGUAAUCCACCCCUUCCCUCUGAGUGAAUCCUUUGGCAACUAACCUUGCCUUGUACCGUUCAAUAUUGCCGUGAGCAUCUCUUUUGGUUUUAUAAACCCAUUUACACCCAAUAGCCUUGAAUUGAGGAUUGGAAUCCACUAAUGUCCAUACUGAGUUUUUUGACAUCGACUCCAAUUCCUCCUUCAUUGCACUGUGCCACAAUGAUUGUUAAGAACUAUUCAUGGCCUGAGAAUAAGUGAGAGGGUCAUCUAUAUCACCAAAACCAAACUCAUGCUCCUGCAAAUAAACAUAGUCAUUUGACAUUGUGGUUUUUCUGAUUCUUGAAAUUGUCUCAAUGGUAAUGACGGAUCAUGGAGAACUUCAGUGCUCGGAUUCAUAGGUGCAUCAUCAGUUGGAGUUGGAUCCCCUUGUUGCUGUGGUUGGGACCCAAGAUCAAUUUCCAUUCUGUCAAUAUCUUCUGGACAGUCUAAUUGUUCUUCCUCCAAUUCAAUCAUGGAAGCAUGAGUGAUCAACAUUUCUUUGUAAGAAUUAGUGCAAAAGGACUUCUCAUUUUGAUCAAUCUCUUAAAAAAUGAACCUACCCUGUGAUAAGUCUGCAAUAUCUUGAUCUUCAAAGAACCUAGCAUUGUGAGUUUCAUGAAUCCUGGUGUGAGCUUGAGGACAAUAAAACUUGAAGCCUUUAGAUUUCUCUGAGUAGCCAAUGAAAUAGCAUGAUUCUGUCCUUGAGUCCAAUUUCUUCUCAUUUGGAUUGUAAAUUCUAGCCUCAGCUUUACAUCCCCAAACAUGGAAAUGACUAAAACUGGGCUUCCUGCUAUUCCAGAUUUCAAAAGGUGUUGAUGAAACCGCUUUGCUCGGAACUCUGUUCAGUAUAUAAGUUGCUGUCUUCAAUGCUUCACCCCAUAGGAAUCCUGGUAACUUUGAUCUUGUCAUCAUGCUUCUUACCAUUCCAAUCAGAGUUCGAUUCCUCCUUUCUGAAACUCCGUUUUGCUGUGGUGUUCCUGGUGUAGUGUAUUGAGCAACAAUGCCUUGUUGUUCAAGAUAGAGCGCAAACGGACCCUUGUGUUGUCCAGCCUCACUGUACCUGCCAAAGUACUCUCCUCCUCUAUCCGAUCUAACAAUCUUAAUGGUCUUGCCUAAUUGUUUUUCUACCUCAGUUUUAUAAACUUUGAAAUAAUCAAGGACAGAUGAUUUCUCACUGAUUAAAUAAGUGUAACAAAACCUUGAAAAAUCAUCAAUAAAGUUGACAAAAUAAGAAUUACCGCAAAUAGUUUUGGUUGGAAAAGGACCGCAGAUGUCAGUGUGUAUAAUCUCUAGCAAAUUCUGACUCCUUUUGGCAUCUAACUUUCUAGAAUUAGUCAUCUUCCCUUUUGCACAAUCAACACACUCAAUUGCAGUAGCAAGAUUUAAUUCAGGGAUCAACUGAGCUUUGGACAAUUUUAAAACUCUUUCUUUGGAUAUGUGGCCUAACCUCUUGUGCCAAAGGAGGAAAGAAUCAUCACUGCAGUUCAUCCUCUUAGUGCUUAUGUUUAAAACAUGUUGAUUUGGGGAUUCCAAAGUACAAUUCAGACACCACAGAUUGUCACUCAAAAAUGCAGUUCCCAAAACACAAUCUAGGUGGUUCUUUUCAAAAAAUUUUAAACUUUCAUCAUCACCUAGAAAGGCAAAACCGUCUUUGACAAUUCUUGAAGCAGAGAUCAGAUUUCUCCUCAUUUUAGGCACAUAAAGCACAUCCUUUAGUUUUAGUGUAAAACCAGAAGACAAUUUUAAACACACCAUGCCUAUAGCUUCUACCGCAACUUUAGUACCUUCUCCCACAAAGACAUUAUAAUUUUUAAAACCAGUUUGUUUUGAUUUCACAAAACCCUCCAAAGAAUUUGAAAUGUGAACUGAGCAACCGGUGUCAAACCACCAAGAAUUCACAGGGAUUUCAAUCAAAUUAGACUCAACACAGACAUUGACAUUUUCUACACCCUUACUUUUAAGAUAGUCCUGAAAAACUUGACAAUCUUUUCUUAAGUGUCCUUUAGUUUUGCAGAAAAAACAUCUGAGUUUGGCAAUAUUUUUCGUUUUGACCAUAAGAUUGUUAGAUCCUUUAAUAGAGUCCUUUACUUUGGUAGAUGCAUUAGACUUAAAAGAGGUUACCUUGGUAUUGUUGUUCUUACCAGAGUGUCCAGAGAAUGAUUUGAAUUAUUUCUUCCCCUUGUCUGGUUGCACAAAAUGCACCGUUUCAGUUUCUUUCCCUCUUUCUUGCUUCUGUCUAGCCUCUUCUUGAACGCACUGUGCUAUUAGCUCAUCAACAUCCCAGUUCUUGUCUUGAGUGUUGUAAGACACCUUUAACUGACUAUAUUUGUUUGGAAGAGCUUGAAGGAUCAUAAAAACUAACUGUUUUUCACCAAUAUUAACAUCUAAAGAAUUUAAUUUCUCAGCUGCAUCAGUCAUUUUCAAGAUAUGGUCUCUGAUUGACCCUAUGCCCUCAAUCUUGUAUGUGGUCAGCAUUGCCAUAUAGUGACUGAUUUCUGCCUUCUGAGAUUCUUUGAACUUUCUUUCAAUUGCUUGUAAAUAAUCAAUAGCUAGUUCAUGCUUCUUGAUUCCACCGCGAACAGUAUCAGUCAUGGCACUUUCAAGUAUAGAAAGUGCCACUUUGUUUGCUCUGACCCAUCUCUCUGCAUCAGCUUUCUCAGCCCUUGUACUUUGAUCAGUCAGAAUCGGCUUGGGAGUUUCAAGGGCUAUGUCAAAGUCAUUGAGUGUCAAUAAGAGCCCAAUCUCACGUCUCCAUUUCUUGUAGUUGCUUCCCCCUAUGAGAACAGGAAUGUUUGCCAAGUUCAUAGUCCGGAACGAUAUUGCAGAUGAUGAACCUGCAAUGAAAUCACAAUUUGAACUUAUUAGUUCCUGAUUUCAUCUCAACAUCACCUUGCACAUCAUGACUAUAAUCACAGACCCAUAUAUAUAGUCUUAAUCAACAAUCUGUUGAUAAGCAUACAUAGAGUGGAAUGAUUAAGCAAGAACUUGAAAAACGAUCCGCUGAUAUCUGCCAUAUAUCCUUAGACACCAAAUGGUUUAAUGGUGUCUCAUACAUGUAAAAGGCAUUUUGAAAGUGAUCAAAGAAAGCACCGAAUGGUUAAUAAGGUAUGUAUCUCUACUUUAAAAGAUCAAAAUACAUAUGCAUAUGACUUACGUUGGCAGUUGAUGAACUGGGAAAGUAAACACAUUCAUCUUUACAUUUCACCAAAGGAUUCAAAGCAAUUAACAACAUACCUUUUAAUCUUUAUAACUCAAAUUCACGAAUCGGGCAGCGGAAGCGAUUUAGAAUUUGAAAAUAGAAGAUUUUAGUUUUGGAAAGGAAAAAACCCAGAUCGAUGUUUAUAGAAGAAAGCAUUGCUUUCUUCAAUUCUGGAAAACCUUCCCUCGAUAAUAACUUAAGGGUUCCUUUGACGGUUCAUUAUCACCAACGCUUCUUUUAUUUCCUCCAGAACCAGACUUCGAUUCUUCAUAAGAGUAAAAAAAAAAAAAAAAAAAUUUUUUUAUUUUUUUUAUUAUUUUUUUUUAAUAGUAACAUACAAAAUUUCUUCUUUACAGAUUGAAUUCAUGUUGAUAAGUCUUGUGGCUCUGAUACCACAUGUAAGACCCUUAAUCAUAAUCACCAAGACCAAAACAUGAACUACAACUUAGAGAGAAAUAUUCAAUUUAUGUAUCUGAGAAACACAACAAGAAUAACAUACCUGCACUUGUAGCAGAACCCGAAGCCAUAGCAGCAAACUUUCAGUGUACCUUCUCUUCUCUCGCAGGUUAUCAAGAGCUCGACUUAUAAAUAGGAUUAAGUCCAGAAUAUGAGCCUUACUCUGUGAGAAGAGAGGCCACUAUAUAUAUACAUAUAAUCUUUACCAUAACUGAUUAGGAUUCCCUAUCAAAAUCCAUGUAGGAAACAAAUUCUUGUCUCCUUGUUCUGAUCUUCAUGCUGUACAGAAUCCCUCUUCAUAAGGGAUUAGCAUUCCUUUUAUUAACAAACUUUUCUAUCCAAUUGAACACAUAUAGCCGGUCCUAAAACUCCUCUAUCUCAUACUCACAUUCUUACAUGAUGAUCAAUGCAUUUUAUUAUUCAUCUUCUCUCUCAAUUAUUUUUGUUGGAUGCAGGAAUGGUGUUAAAGUUAAGGAAUACUUUGCAUGGUCAGUGCUAGACAACUUUGAAUGGAUUGAUGGAUAGACAGUUCAAUUUGGUAUCGUAUUUGUAGAUUAAAAUGAUGGCCUAAAGAGGUACCAAAAGAAAUGGACAGCCUGAUUCAAACGUUUCCUCAAGAAAGCUGAAAGAAAUAUGAUAUUGUGGACGGAAAUAUUGUUAACACUAAGUUUGUAUAUGAAGUUUAAAUUUCAAAUGACGAAUAAAGUAGAACUCCUUCUUAACUACAUUGCAAAAGAUGAAAGAUUAAAUGGUACAGAAGGAGAUGAUAGAGAAACAAGAGAGAGAUUGAAAAGGAAAAAUGAAAGCUCUUAAAUUGAUUGAUAUCUCUGACACAAUAUUUAUAUACAAACACACUUGACAAUUUUAGCCGUGCUUUGCCCCGAUCGGAAAACCUCUUUUUCCGAUUUCCCUCUUAUCCUUCCCUCCAUUAUCUUUCUCCCUCCAUGCGUCCAAUUGCUUCUUCUUCUUCCCCUCCCACUUGGCUUUGGCCUUUCUCGAUUCCACCUGUGAUCCGAUCUACCGUUACUUUGUUCCGCCUUUUUUCACUCCUUCAUCAGAAGGUGAGUAGAGCUCAGGCUCGGGUGUUCACACCACCACCUUUCCCUUGUGUGUCGAUCUCGACACUGUUGCCAGUGGUCCCAUUGGUUUCCUUCUUGCGUUUAUUCCCUUGGUGGUGGCAGAUUGGUUCAUUGUGGUUUGAUCGAGGACAAUGACAGCUUCUCAUUUUGUGUUUGGGGCUUGGUUUGGUUUCUUCUCUAGCGGUUGCAAGGAGGCUGGUUUGUGGUCGUCGAGAAGUGCUUCGGCGGCAGCAUGAGAACUUGGCGGCUAGGGUUUGUUCAAUGUUUUCUAUUGUCGGCUCAACCCAUGGGUUGGCCCUUUGUAGUUGUUGUUUUGGAGGCCCAUGUAACGGGUUCCUUCUAAUUUUUCAGAUCGUCAGGUGGCGAUGUGGACGUGAUUUCGGGUUCAAUGGGUUUGAUGGGUUCGAGUUCAAUGGGGCCAAGUUGAACUUGCAAACCAACGACAUCUGCACACAACCCGCAUCCAUGCCACCACUCUGCCCAGGUCAGUUCUUGAUCUAUUGAAGCCAUGAAACCCACCCACGGAACCACGAAUUCAAUAACCCUAGCUUCCCCCGGCAGUAUCGAAUGUCUUGGCGACGAUCGUGAAUCUGGCCGCAAGGCUAGCCAAGAAAGCGGAGGCGCGCGCAAUCUUCAUGUUGGCGGCAGAUGAGAGGUCCCUGCACAACGUUGACGACUCGUUGAUGCUGCUCACUACUUUGUCUCCUUCUUGAGGAAGAGGGGGUACAUACAAUGAGUAAUUUUUUUACUCACGUCCCCCACUCAUGGUCCCCAGUACACCUUGAUUGAGGAAGCAAAAGCAAAUCAAAAGAGAAAAAACAACGGAUUUGGAUUCUCUUUGUAAAUUCCGGCGGCGGAGGUGCUGCUAGAGCUGCUGCUUCUAAGAAUGGUAAUACAGGAGGUGAGGAAAUUUGGCAUUUUGUGAUUUGAGAUAUUGAGGAACUUAAAUCAUUUUCAAAUAAGAUAGAAAGAUUACGGUGUAGUAAUAUUAUUAUUUCCCAACAAGUGAGAGAUCUUAGGUUCAUUCCUUGUCAAAAGUAAAUUCAAAUCACAUUAAUGCUAGCCAUGUGAGGAUAAGCCAUCCCCCUCCCUUCUUAGUGUAGAUAAUAUUGUUCAUUAAAAAAAAAAAAUUUGAAGGUAGGAAAAGCUUCAAUCGAUAUGUCAAUUCUACGUUGAUUGAUAUAUUAAUCUUUUGAUGUCAAAUUUAACAUAUAAAAAAAGGUGUUAUCAAUUAUUUUAUGGUGUGGGUCUCAUUAAUGCACCAAUUAUAAAUCUUGAAAAUUUAUUUUAAUAGAUUUCUUUUUAAAAAUGGAUCCUAUAAAUAUCAUUAUAACAACAAAAAACAUAUGGGUUGGAAAAUGAGAAAAUUUGACAUCAUCAUGUCAGUCAUCAAAUUAACAUUUGACAUUUAUCCUUUGACAUCUUCAUCGUAGAUGCUCUUAUUUUUAGAAUUUUUUUUUUACUAAUUUCAGUUUACUACCUUAAAGUUUAUUGGUUUUCAGCAUUUCAUGCAUAAAGUUUUUUUCGUCUCAGUUUAGUACCUAAAGUUAUAAUUCUUGGACACUCUCAUACAUUUGUUAAGUUUUUCUUCAAAACCUCCGUUAACUGAUGACGUGGCGCCCACGUGGAUAAUCUCAUGCCAUGUGGACAUUAAAAAAAUUUAAAUUAAAAACUAGGAAAAAUCUCAGUUCAUUAUCUUGAAGUUUCUUGAUUUUCAACAGAACUUCAUCGAUCUUAGCAUCGGAACUCCUCCACAGUGCCUUCUUCUCGUCACCUAUACCAGCAUUGAUCUCGUCUGGCUCACUUACUUCGUCUACACUGAUUGCUCUAACUACGAACCAAGGAAGAGGGCCCAUCUCGUUUUCCUAGAAAGUAAGUUUCCGGUUCGAGAACAAAUUCUAGUACCAGGAACUCGAUGUUUUCAAUCCCUUUAUUUUUUAGUUUUUAAUUUUUUUACUUUUUUUACUUUUUAAAUUUUAAAAUUUUAAAAUCUUUAAAUUUUUUAAUAUUCACAUGGGCCCUAGAUUGACACACGGUGCCCAGUUAUUAUACACUUGGGUGUCACAUCACAAGUUAAUUGUUGUUUUACAGAAAGCUUAACAGAUGUAUGAAAUUGUCCAAGAAUUAUCACUUUAGGUACCAAACUAAGAUGAAAAAAACUUGAUAUAUGAAAUGUUGAAAAUAAAGAACAUUCAUAGUAGUAAACUGAGAGUUACUCUAGUUUUUUGUUUUGGUGGUUUAAUUAUGAAAGCUGCAUUAUUUGCCAUAUAAGCUUGUCCAAGUGUAAGCCCUGGCGUUUCGUCCUUAACAUACUGGCCAGUAACGGCAAAGAUGGCUGCAAAACCAACGGUGGUAAUGAGAACACAGUGGCAGAGUUAUAGCAUUGUUUUUUUUUUAUUUGUCAAACGAUAUAUUUUGUUAGAUUAGCCAUCGAUAGAGUUCAAACUCAUAUCGUCAUGCAAUAACUCAACUCAUUUUCAUCACUGUAGUAAAAAGUCACUUGCAAGUUUAUAGCAUUGUUGAGUCCACUAAUGUUGAGCAAUAGGUAGCGUUUGAAAAAUAUGUGAUUUAAUUAUGUACUAUUUUUUGUUAAAAAAAAAAUAUGUACUAGCUAGAUACGUGUUAAGAAAAAUUAGAUUUGGAGACUUUUUUUGUUUUUUAGGUUUUUAAAUUUUUAAAUUUUUUAUUAUUCACGUGCCCAUAUUGACACGUGGUGCCCAGUUAUAAUCCACGUAGCCGCCAUGUCACAAGUUAACAGCGGCUUUAACAGAAAACUUAAUGGAUAUAUGAAAUUAUCCUAAAAUUAACACUCUAGGUACUAGACUAGGAUUAAAAAAAAAAAAAAACUUAUGUAUGAAACGUUGAAAAUCAAUAAACUUCAAGAUGGUAAACUAAGAAUUACCUACUUUUUAAGUUUUCCCUCUCCUUGACGUCUUUUUCUUCUCCAAUCCUUCUUCGAUCUUCACUCUCUCUCAAUUCUGCAAAUCUCUCAUUUUGUUCUUCCUGCACGACUACUGUCCUCGUCGAUCUCCCUCCAGUUGCAAGCCUUUCUCGAAGAUAACCAUCAGUAAUAAGGUAUUCAUCUAGGUAUUUUUAAGGGAUACUUUGGAUGAUGUCCCUAAUCCUUAACAUUCUUUGACUAAAACCUUAAAACUAUGUUUGAAUGAAGAAAUUUAAGAUUAUUAUGGAAUUUUAAAAUGAUGGAAAUUGAAAUGAAGGGAUUUUUUUUUCUAGAAUUUGUGAAUUUUGUUGUUUGGUUAACUUAAAAGAACAAUGGAAUUGAAAAGGAAUUUGUUAAUUUUAAACUCUCAAUCAUAGAAAUUGAGAAAUGACUUAUGUGGAAUUUAAACUUGGAAAUUGAAGGCCCCAAAUUCCAAGUUUUUUUUCCACGCGGAAAUUCUAAAUUUCUAUGUUAUAAAUCCAAAUAAGGAAUUGGUGAAUGUCAAUUUAUAAAUUUCAACUUUUAUCCAAAUUCCAAGUUUAUUUCCCUCAUCCAAACAUAGUGGUAUUCAAAGUUUGAUCAAAGUCCCUUGACUUUGUACACCUCAUUAUAUUACAAUUAAUAUUUAUAUUUUUAUAGUUUUGACAUUAAUUGUUUGAUAUUUUAUGAGAUUUAUAAUCUUAUAAAUUUAAAAUCCCUCAUUAUAAUACUAUUAGAAACAGUUACAAUAAAAAUUUUCAAACAUUUUGAUUGAAUAAAUGGAUAAAAACUAAGUAUAAAUAAUAAAUGGCAAAAGAAUGUAUCCAUAGUGUUAAAAAAAUUGGUACAUUUCACAUAUAACAAAGUGGUACAUUAAUAAAGAAGAAUGGGUACAUUAUAAAUAAAUUAGGGUACAUAUAAAAGAUUAAAAAAUUACAAGUACAAAUGAAUUUAAAAAAAAAAAUACAGGCGCUAAAAGAAAUUAAUACAUGGGUACAAAAUAAAACUAAAAAGAAAAUACUACAAAUUUAAAAAAUGUUGCAAAUUAAAAGUGGGUACAAACUAAAAUAUAAAUAUACGAUACAAAGUUUAGGCAUAAUACAUAAAUAUACCAUAUGUAAUUUUUCUAUCAUUGAUUAAAUAUACAAUGUCACAUGACAGCAUACACAUGAGUACAAACACAAAUAAAACUUUAAAAAAUAUGGGCACAAAAAGAAACUAAUAUAUGGGUACAAAUUAAAAAUGAAAAAAAAUUGGUACAAAUUAAAAAUAGGUACAAACUAAAAAUAAAAAUAUAUGAUAAAAAAAUUUAGCCAUAAAUAUAAAUAUACUAAUUGUAACAAUUUUAACACUAAAGGAAUAUAUUUAAAAAUAAAAAUCUUUUAUUAUUCAAAUAAUUAAUGAUGUUAUUAAUACCCAAGGACCUUGAUCAAAAAUUGAAAAUAAAUAGGAUUUUAAUCAAUGGAGUAGCAAAAAGAAGGAUGUGAACCUAAUUUCUCCUAUUUUUUAUUUUAUAUGUUUUUUUUCUCUCCAAUGUGAGAAUUAGUACUGGUUUGGUACUGAUGUGCUUUUAUAAAAAGUGGGUAUCAAAAAAGUUAAGCUCAAAAAUGUGUUUAGUAAACACUUAAAAACAACUUAUUUUCAUAGUUUUUUGUGAAAAAAAACUGAAAACGUGAAGCAGCAAAGAUGAGCUUAUUCUCACAGCACAAUAUUGAGCUUAAGUUUUAGGGUUAGGAACUUCGUAAUUGGAAAAUUUUAGAGAAAUCAAUUUUAGGGCUAGGAAUCUGGAAUUUAGGAACUGUUGCUUAUAACUGUUAAGUGAAUUUCUAUUUCAAUGUUUAAAGAAUCUUGAGGAGCGUUUACUUUAAGUUUUCGAUGUACUCGAGCAGCCUUUAUUUUAAUUUUACAGUAUUUACAUAUUUAGCAUAUGCAUAGUUGGGUUGAUGCAUAUGAAAACUGUCAUAUCCCGACCUGAGCCUCCACCACAUUUCGGGCUCGACCCUGUCAUAGCACGAUAUUGUCCGUUUUGGGUCCCGACCAUGCCCUCAUGGUUUUUUUUCUGGGAACUCACGCGAGAACUUCCUAGUGGAUCACCUAUCAUAGGAUUGCUCUCGCACAAACUCGCUUAACUUCGGAGUUCCGAUGGAAUCCGAAGUCAGUGAGCUCCCAAAAUGUCUCGUGUUAGGUAGAGAUGAGAAUAUACAUAUAAGGCUUAGAGGAUCCACUUCAAUGGCCGAUGUGGGAUGUUACAAUACACCCCCCUUAAGGGCCCAACGUCUUCAUCGGCACACUUCCGAUCAGGGAUUGGCUUUGAUACCAAAUUGUCACAUCCUGACCCGGGCCCCCACCACAUCCCGAGCUCGACUCCGCCUUCACAGUUUUGUUUCUGAGAACUCACACGAGAACUUCCUAGUGGGUCACCCAUCAUGGAAUUACUCUCACGCGUCGCUUAACUUCUGAGUUCCAACAGAACUCGAAGCCAGUGAGCUCUCAAAAAGCCUCGUGCUAGGUAGAGAUGAGAAUAUACAUAUAAGGCUUACAAUAUUCACUCCCCUGGAUGAUGUAGGAUGUUACAAAGAUUAUCCUAGAGGUAGAAGGAGCAAUUAGUGCCAAAUUCUAAAGAUGAAGCUCAUAUGGACUAAUUGUGAUCAAUUCUAUGAUUAUAAUGUCUGUUAAGGACUUUAGGACUAGUUUGCUAUUACUGUGUUUAAAAAUAAAAAAUUGCUUCUACUAUACUAUUAGAAUAAACAACUGUAAAAUAAAGUUGUUAACUGUUUGGUAAACUUUUUCUUUGUGAGAAUGCUUUUAAUAAAUAAAAAAAAAAGCAGUGUAUGACUGUUUGGUAAACUUUAUAUAAAUUGCUUUGAAUAUGUUAAAUGACUAAAAAGAAUAUAGUAUUUAAUGUGAAAUAAUAAUUGUCAAAGACAAUAAUGUAGGGGUAAAGAUUGUAAAUUUAUAAAACAUGUGGAGGUAUAUUUACCGUUUAAAAAUUUCAUUAAAUGAGCAUUGAUUACUAUGAUUUGAAAAGAAAAGAAAAAACAUUUUUUUAGAAGCAUGAUGAACUUUGCUUCUGUUUUUCUAUGUUUCUACUUGACAACUGUUUUUUUUUAAAGGAACUUUAACGAAAAGUUUCUGGUACUGUUCACUUUAACGAAAAACCACAUUUUACACUAAAAAGUCAAUUCUGGUACUAUUCACUUCACCUUUUAUUUUGUUCUUGUCAUUAAAACUCAAAGUUUUCAAACUCUUUUCAUGAGUUUUCUUUUGUUUUUUUAACAAUUUUUUUUGUUUUAUCAAACACAUUUAAUAUUCUAAAUUUUUUAAUAAGUUGCUUUAUUUGAAAAUACCACAAUCCCAAACAACCCUUAAUAGAUUCUUGAUUACUUGCUUUUUGUUAGUCAAUUAUUGCUAAUUUAUCAAAAAAUUAAAGCGAUAGAAAAACAGGUAUGAGCCAUUUUUGGUAAGUCACCCUCUUUUCUCUCAAGCCAAUCGCUUCUCAUACGUGAAUCCAUUUCUUUCUAUGCAUUCGUGGGAUUGUUAUAGUUGUUAAAGAAAUUCUUAUUGAUAUUACCUUUUCAUCAAAACUAAACUUUUUAAGGAAAACUAAUAAAAAUAAUUUAAAAACUUUGAGUUUUAACGAUAAGCACAAAAUAAAAGGUAAAAUGAAUAAUAUCAUGAUUGACUUUUUAGAGUAAAAAUGUGGUUUUUCGUUAAAGUAAACAGUAUUAGGAGCUUUUCGUUAAAGUUCCUAACUUUUUAUCAUCAUCGCGUAUGUCCCUUAAAUGGUUAGAGUUAAAUUUGUUCUACAAUUGAUGGUGAGAGGAGGUCUGAAAGCUUCUAUCAUGUUGGACUUCAUAAAUCAAAAUUUGUCUAUAUUCUUUGAGAAAUGCUAGCUACCUUCCCUAUUUAUCUUCUCUUUUGUGUCUUUCCUACUCAGUAUUUGACAUGUAUACUCUAUUCACCGAUAAAAUUCAAUAUUUAGAGGUGUGAUAUUCACACAUCCCUUUUUACUUCUCCCACAUUUUUUUAAUUUUUAACCGUUGGAUCGGAUGAAUUGAAGAAUAUCAACGGACAUAAAUUAACAAGGAGUGUGUAAGAAGUAAAAAAUUGUGUGUGGAUAGCACACCCUAAUAUUUAAUGCUAUGAAAGACAAAUAAUUUUCUUACCCUUACAAUAAAUCUUAACAAACUAAACUCCCUACCAUCUUCCCUAGCAAGCAACGGUCCUGCUCCAAAACAUGGUCAAAACUUGGUCUCCUAGCUUUUUCCUUAUCUUAACCCUCAACCACGAGAUAAUUACCUGUAAAAAGCCAAAAUAAUUUUCAAAACUUCAUUUUUGUUCUGCGUUACCGGUCUUUAUCUUCGAGAAAUUCUUUCACAACCACGAUUAGACUCGGUACAAAACUAGUAGAUUGAAGAUAAUUUUUUGUCACAGCGUUUAAGAGAAGAUCAGAAGUAGCCUUGGCCACGCCUGAACUUUUGAGGAAGUUUUGCAUGCAUGUAUGGCAUAAACUUUGUUGGUUACUGCUAAAAAGACCAUGGGAGGUCUCAGUUCCGCCGUUAAAAAAAAUUGAGAAUACAAAUAUGCAAAUGUUGUUGGAAGUUUUGAGACUCUUGUCCCACAUUGGUGAAAACAAAAUUCCAAAGUACCUUUAUAUACUUUUUGUCUUCUACAAUAUUAGUUAUGUGUUGGACCACUUGGAAUGGGAAUUGAGGCUUGGGCCACCAUUUCUGUGGAUUGGGCUUGAUGAUUAUACCAUAAUAUUAGUUUUAAUUUCGAAUUAAGUUUUUAAUUAAAUUAAUUAAAAACGUUUUGAUUAAAGAUACAACCUUUUGUAAAGAGUUGUAAAGCUUCAUAAAGGACUUGAACCUAGAAGAAGUAAAAGGACAAAAAUCCGAAAGGACUUUGGGCCUGAUUUUGUGACUUUAUUAACCGAGACAGAACCUCAAUCAUUCAAGGAGGCCAUGUCCACUCCUGAAGCUCCAUUUUGGAAGGAUGCAGUUAACAGUGAGAUAGAUUCCAUUAUGCAAAAUCAUACAUGGGAAUUAGUCGAUUUGCCCCCUGGCAAUAAGCCAAUUGGGUACAAAUGGAUCUUUAAGAAGAAAUUAAAACCAGAUGGUACAAUUGACACAUAUAAGGCUCGUUUGGUAGCUAAAGGAUACCGUCAAAAACAUGGUUUGGAUUUCUUUGAUACAUACUCACCUGUAACGAGAAUUACUUCAAUAAGAUUAUUGAUUGCUAUAGCUGCACUCCAUAACAUGGAAAUACAUCAAAUGGAUGUAAAAACUGCAUUCUUAAAUGGAAACUUAGAUGAGGAAAUAUAUAUGGAACAACCCGAGGGGUUUGUAGUUAAAGGUAAAGAACACAAAGUGUGUAAACUUGUGAAAUCGCUAUAUGGGCUUAAACAAGCUCCAAAGCAAUGGCAUGAAAAAUUUGACCAUGUUCUGAUCACACACGGUUUUAAGAUAAAUGAGUGUGAUAAGUGUGUCUACACAAAAACUCAAAAUAAUGCUUGCGUUAUGUUGUGUUUAUAUGUAGAUGAUAUGUUUAUAAUGGGAACUAACAAAGAGAUAAUACAUUGGACCAAGAAGAUAUUGAAAUCAAGUUCCGAUAUGAAAGAUCUUGGUCUAGCUGAUGUGAUUCUUGGUAUAAAAAUCAAAAGAAACCAAGAAGGUUAUAUUCUUACGCAAUCCCAUUAUAUAGAAGCAACACUUAGAAAGUAUGGUCAUUUGGAAAGUAAAGAUGAAAUUACUCCUUAUGAUGCCAAUAGCAAACUAAAGAAAAAUAGUGGUGAUGCUAUAUCUCAACGUGAAUAUUCACAAGUCAUUGGAAGCCUUAUGUGCAUUAUGAAUUGUACAAGGCCUGAUAUAGCUUACUCAGUAAGUAGACUAAGUAGAUAUACAUGCAAUCCUGGGCAUGAUCAUUGGGAAGCUUUAAUUCGAGUAUUGAGAUACUUAAAGCAUACAAUAAAUUAUGGAUUGCAUUAUACAAGGUAUCAUCCUGUGCUUGAAGGAUUUACUGAUGCGAAUUGGAUAUCGGAUAGCAGUGAUACGAAAUCCACAAGUGGAUAUGUAUUUACUUUAGGAGGAGCAGCAAUAUCUUGGAAAUCCUCCAAACAAACGUGCAUAGCCUGAUCAACAAUGGAAUCGGAAUUUAUAGCCCUCGAUAUGGCUGGAGGAGAAGCUGAAUGGCUAAGAGAUUUUUUGGAAGAUGUUCCCAUAUGGCCUAAACUUGUAACGGCAAUAUGUAUACACUGUGAUAGUUUAGCUGCACAAUAUCGAGCUAAAAGUAGUGUAUACAAUGGGAAGUCUAGACAAAUUAGACGAAGACAUAAUACAAUAAAGCAAUGGCUCUCUAGUGGUGUAAUUUCUAUUGACUAUGUCAAGUCAAAAGAUAAUAUUGCGGAUCCGCUUACUAAAGGCUUAUCUAGAGAACAAGUUAAGCAUACAUCGAGGGGAAUGGGUUUAAAGCCAAUAGAGUAAAAUGAAACUGCCAAAUGGAAACCUAACCUAGUUGAUUGGAGAUCCCAUGGUCUAGGUUCAAUAGGCUAACUGGUUUGGCUAGAUUCAAGAAGAAACACACUUACAUACCCAUUCCUAUGAUGGAAGAAGUGUGGUGACUGCUGAUGAGUAUAGGAUACAUUAGUUUAAUGAUAUUGAUACUUGUAAGUCAAGUGGAAUAGUAGCAGCCUAUUCUUAAUCAAUAUCACCUAUAUGAGAGAAAAUGUGGGGUCGCAUUUAUGAGAAUUAUAUGGCUACAUUCUCUAAAGCUCUCAUGAAUCCAGGAUUUGUUCAGGACCAAAAUGAACACAAACGUAUGAAUUUGCGAUGUGUUGGUGUGGCAUAUGUUUUGCUUAUUGUCUUGGUUUACUGCGGAGAUGAACAGUUCAAGAUUUUAUAUUCACUGCGUCAUCUAGUAAAUCCGAUAAGUAUAUACUAAGGUAGGUUCAAGUCCAAAAGACACCUUUCCUGAUGUAUGUCACAUCUAUUGUUUACUCUCGUAUCUUAGUUUCUCUAAGACUAAAUAGUCGUCUCAAAAUGUGGGGUAUUGUUGGAAGUUUUGAGACUCUUGUCCCACAUUGGUGAAAACAAGAUUCCAAAGUACCUUUAUAUACUUUUUGUCUUCUACAAUAUUAGUUAUUUGUUGGACCACUUGGAAUGGGAAUUGAGGCUUGGGCCACCAUUUCUGUGGAUUGGGCUUGAUGAUUAUACCAUAAUAUUAAUAUUAAUUAAUAUUAAUUAAUCAAGACAAGGGCCUUGGGGCACUUGGGGCCUAAGAAUUAAAAUUAAUCUGAUCAAUUAGUUUUAAUUUCGAAUUAAGUUUUUAAUUAAAUUAAUUAAAAACGUUUUGAUUAAAGAUACAACAUUUUGUAAAGAGUUGUAAAGCUUCAGAUACAUCCAAAAGGUAUUUGAAGAGGUAUGAAAGAGCCUAUAUAACUGGAGUCCUCAGUUCAUCAUCAAUCAACCUUUCUUCUUCCUUUUCUUCCGUACAAACUUUCUAGAGAGAGUAAACACACAAAGCAAUUCGCUAGAAUUCUAUAAUCCAGUGCGGGUUGUAGGAUUAGGUAGUUGUAUCCUGGUCGAGCAGACGUUGUAGAACCACAAGCACAAGAGUGGGACGGAAUUACUGUUCGAAUGACAUAGCUUUUACGCUAGCCUCUACCUUCUGUAAUCAAGUUAGUACUUUUGAUAUUCUCAUAUUUAAUUUUCUGUAGUUGUUGUGUAUCAUUCUGUAUUGCAAGUAUUUUUGAGUAAUAAAGUAUAAAUAUUUCAAGUUCUGUAUUUCUGUUAUUUCUGUUUCUAAAUUGUUCUCCAACAAAUGUUAGGUGCCUAAGUAGUUUUGAGAUUUGUGUACGUUGGAGGAAACUAAACUAAACUUAUUAAAACAUAAAAAGAUGAUUCCAAUGUCAGUUUGUUUGGAUCCAAUUUUACACUAUCAACCUGCGUAUUUUAAGUCGGUGAAUAGAAGAAGAUCAGGGGCAUAGCAUGAAGAUUCAAUUAAAAUUUAUGCAAAAAAAAAAGGAAAAUCAAAAGAAGACAUGUUGAUAUGAUCAUAUUAUUAUUAAUGAUCAUUUAUAUGCCAAAAUGGUCAUUAAGUUGACAUAACUUCUCAGUUUAGUCUCUGACAAAGAAAAUAGAUAAAUCCUGAUAUUCCUCCCCCCACUGCCUCAAACGAACAAUCAGAAUUAGCAUGCCCAAUUCUCCUGCAUCUAUAACAGAAGUCCUGCAGUCUCUCAUAUCGGAAUUCUAUCCAAGUCUCUGUAUUAUUUUCCCUUGGGAUCCAACAUCCAGUAGUGAAGGGCUUAGUGGUGUCAACCUCCACUUUAAUCCUUAAGAACCCCUUUACCAUAGACAGGUCUUCAAUCUCCUCCACCUUCCCAAGCUUAGCUGCCAAACACCUCAAAUUUGUUUCUGUACUACGAUUGGGUGGUAGGCCCCGAAUUUGGAUCCAGAACGGAACCUCAUUCAUAUUCACUUCCUCCAAAGCUAGCUCCUGGGGCCAACGCUUGACAGAGAAAUUAUGUUUCAUGACCCCCCAAGGGACCUGCUACAGUAUCUUUUUUGCCGUGCUUUCAUCUUGGACUGUAAUAAUAAACGUAUUUUCCUUAACCCAUUUUACCUCUGUUUCCCCAAGCUCAUUCCAAGCUGAUCUGAGCACAUUUCGUAUUCCCCAUUUAUUAAGAGUUUUGUUAGCCAAAACAGUACCCACCAGCUUGAUUCCUUGCUCCAUUGAAGAGAUCUCCAAUUUGUUAUUCAGUUGCACUACGAGCUCGUCAACCUCACCCCCAGACAUCACAAUCGAUAGGUACAACAUUGAAACUAAUCUCCAAAUAAUUUCAACCUGGCCUUCUACCUUUUUAUCUCUCUCUUUCACCUUCCACUCUAUCCAAAUUUUCUAUGUAUGCCCCAGAUCCUUUCGAGAUUGAGACCCGCCAAAGAUACUAUUCCCCCCAGGUAGCCCCCAUUUACUCUCCUCUCACAAAUAACCCAAGUCACAAAACAAAUGAAAAGGAAAGACCAAUAUUCAAGCGCUUUCUCACCUGUGUUAGGCUUAGAGGAGUUAUUCGUGGGACCCUCCUUAUGGAUUAGAAUCGGCACAUCUUCUCGAUCUGGCAUGUCACAAUUAAUAGUGGUAGGUUUUAGGUUGUUUCCCAUCUGAAUUUCCUUCCAACCUUCGAACCCAAAGUCUAGAACUGACCUGCCACAGACUGGAUCUCAAGGGGAAACAGCAAAAUUAAAACAAACCUUUGCAGGGUAAGGAAUAACUGACGAUGAUUUGACUAAAGAGAGCCGCGGAAAAUCAAUAUCAGAGCAAGGAAGCCAGAGGAGUUAAUGAGGGGGCGGAAUAAGAAUAAACGAGAGGGAAGAAGUAGUUGGGGGACUUUAUUAGGGAAAGAGAAGGUUCAGUCGAGCAAGUCAAGCCAAGAAGGAAAACCCACACUGAGGAGGGACUCUCACUCAGGAGAGAGGAGCUCUCACGGCCGAGAGAAUGGUAGAGAGCAUUUUCCAGUUUGUGGAGUUUUUUUUUUUUCCAGUAAGGGUUUUCUCAGAACCUUCGUCUGUUAUGAUAUGAGAAAGACGAAAUGCUGGUACUAGCAGAGUGGGGCAUAGCACAAGGAGGGAGACAUAAGGGGAAUAAUGAAAGAAGACAGAGGGUACCACAAGUCUCGGGGAAGGGGGUCUCAAGUCCUCCAACAUCCCAACAGGAAAUCAGUGUUAGUGCAAAGAAAUGGCAUAGAUUGCAAGAAAAAAGGCUGGGUCCUUUUCCAAACCCGGCCCAAUGGUUCACGGAGAAUAUAGGCUUGAUAGGCCAAAAUAGAUUAAUACCGGGUCUUGAUCGUACUACCUUCGGUAAAGGCCCAUCCAUUGUAAUAGAAGAAAUCCUGGAGACGAAUGUUUCUCAGCUUGAGGGUGGGACGUUGGCCGGUAUCCAUAGAGGUAAGGAGUUAGACCAAAGGGGGGAUGACCAUAGCAGAAGAAACAAGCGGGUGAUGAAUGACAAUACUCUCAAAUCGGCACAAGUUCCCCAGAAGAGAUGCAAGUUGAUGAUUGAGGACCGAAAUGUUAUAGAGAGAAAAGGAAGAACGGCAGAAGAUAUAGGAAGAAUGACGAUCAAAGAAAGAUGUUCGAUGAUGAUGAGAGCUCUGGACGCUGAAGAGGAGUUACAGGAGGUUCUGAUUGAGUACCAGGAUAUGUGGGAUUAUAUGGAGAAUGUCUCGGCGAAAGAAAAAGAAGCGUUGUUGGCCAAGAAAAAAGAAAAGUCUUCCAGAGUCAGUGGCGGCUGGCCUUCAACAGCCGCACGAUCGCCAUAACGCACCUAUUUUAGAACUGUCGUGGCCUAGGGUCGGACACGGUGGUUCGUGCCCUUCAUGGGCUAAUUAGGGAACAUCGACCCUCUAUGAUCUUUCUGUCAGAAACAAAAAUGAAAGAUCAUAGGAUUGAAAGAGUAAGAAGAAGGAUGGGAUAUCUGAAUGGCUUUAAUGUAGCUCAUGUUGGGAGUGCGGGAGGUCUAAGCCUCUAGUGGGACGAUACAAUAUGUGUUGAGGUGAAAAAGUCAUCUAAGCAUUUCAUUGAUGCUAAAUAUUAUAUUGGUGAGUCUGGGUCUGGGUUUCGUUUCACUGGAGCUUAUGGUACAUCAUACAGGGCGGAGAAAAAAAGCUUCUGAAGGGAUAUGAUCUAUAAAUUCAAUCCUGAUAAUGAUCAUUGGUUAUGUGGAGGCGAUUUCAACGAAUUUAUAUGGGAUCACGAGAAAGCAGGAGGUGCGGAAGUGAGAUACAAUAGGCCGCGAUAUUUGGAGGAGUUCAUGAGUAAAACGAAGAUUAUGGAUGUGGGUUUUAAUGGGCCUAAAUUUACAUGGAGGGGGAUGCGAAAUGGGCAAAUGGUUGAGGCGAGGUUGGACAGAGCUCCGAUGAAUGAAAAAUGGCAAUCUUUGUGGCCUAAUACUUCGGCAGUGAUAGGCACUUGUGUGGGUUCAGACCAUUGUCCAGUUGUGAUGAAAUGCAAGUUGCAUGGGGAUGAAAGAAGUAAAAGAUUGUUUCGUUUUGAGGCUUUUUGGACAAAAGAAGGGGAAUGCAAAGAUAUUGUGGAGGAGGACUGGGGUAGGCAUAAGGAUGGGAUGCCUAUUGAAAGAUGGAAUUGGAGGAUAAAUGACUGUCGAAACAAACUCUGGAGGUAGAGCAAGGAAAAAUUCAAAAAGCGUGGGAGAUAGUUGAAGGAGAAAUUAGAGCUUCUUGGCCGGUUGCAACUCAACUGGAGAGAGUAUGAAGAAGAAAUUAAAGAUCUUUCCAAAGAAGUUGGACCAUUUGUGGAGACAAGAAGAAUGUUUUUUGUUACAACGGUCAAGAGUGCAAUGGCUGAAGGAGGGGGAUGCAAAUACUAGAUUUUUCCACCAAUCGACAAUACAAAGAAGAAGAAGAAACAAGGUGAUUACUUUGAAGAAUGGGAACGGAGAAUGGGUGGAUGAUCCGAGAUUGAUUAGGAGAGUGGUUGAUGAGCAUUUUGUGGACCUGUUCACAUCAGUGGGACAGCGGGAUUGGGGAGAUGUUCUCGGCCGCAUUUCCCCGAAGGUAACAAUGGCGAUGAACGAGGUCCUUUCUGGGCCGGUUUCAGUUGAUGAGGUUAAGUCUGCUACUUUGGAAAUGGGGGGGCUAAGGCUCCAGGACCGGAUGGUUUUUCUGGAAUUUUCUACCACAAACACUGGGACAUCCUAGCUGUGGACGUAAAUGAGAUGGUUGGGGUUUUGAUGAAUGGUCAGGAGGAUCCAAGAAGAUUAAAUGCAACUCAUUUGGUGUUGAUUCCAAAGGUCCAAAAUCCGGAAUUGGUCUCCCAAUUUAGGCCAAUUAGCUUGUGCAACUACUCUUACAAAGUUCUGUCGAAGGUUUUGGCAAAAAGGCUCAAAGCUUUUCUUCCGGAAUUGAUUUCACCAACUCAGAAUGCUUUUGUGGCUGGCUGGCAGAUUCAAGACAACAUUGGAGUUGCUCACAAACUUUUCCAUUUCCUAAAAAAUAGGAAAGCAAGAUGCAAUUGGGAGUUAGGGGUUAAGUUGGAUAUGCAUAAGGCCUAUGAUCGUGUGGAAUGAGACUUUCUGAUGGCAGUGAUGGAGAAGAUGGGGUUUGACAGAAAAUGGAGGAAUAUGAUUCUCGGGUGUAUUUCGUCAGUCAACUUUGCUAUUCUCUUGAAUAGGCAACCUAGUAAAAAGUUUGCUCCUUCCAGGGGUUUAAGGCAGGGAGAUCCACUCUCCCCAUACUUGUUCUUGCUGGUUAGUGAAGUCUUCUCCCUUCUUAUUCAAAAGUAUAGUGAUCUUGGUCACCUAAGAGGAAUUCAAAUGAGUUCUCCUGGCCCUACCAUCUCCCAUAUCUUUUUUGCCGAUGAUACACUCAUUUUUCUGAGGGCGGAUGUGGAAAACUGUUAACAGUUAUCCAAAGUGAUUGAUGAUUUUUGCUUGGCUUCUGGGCAGAAAGUUAAUAAAUCCAAGUCAAGUAUUUUCUUUGGAUGUAAUGUUCCGAGGCAUCUGUCCACUCAAUUGGCGUCUACCCUUGGCAUGGAAAUAGUGGAGGAUCCUGGUUCUUACCUGGGAGUUCCUGCUAUCUGGAGCCGCUCUAAGAAAACCGGUCUUGCUUAUAUCAAGGGGAGAUUAUUGGAGAAACUGUAAGGAUGGAAGAAAGCUUUUCUGUCUCAAGCGAGGAGGGAGGUUCUCAUUAAAACUGUGGCUCAAGCUAUUCCGGCUUAUCCGAUGAAUCUUUUCAAAUUUCCAGCCUCGUUCUACAAGGAGUUAGAUGUCGUGAUUUUGAACUUUUGGUGGGGACAAAAGGAGGGAGAGCGCCGAAUUCAUUGGAUUGCUAAAGAAAAAUUGAGGUGGGCGAAAGAGAAAGGUGGUUUGGGUCUAAGAAGCUUCGAAGUGUAUAAUGAUGCUCUGUUGGCAAAACAAUGUUGGAGGUUAGUCGAAGACCCAAACUCGUUAUGGGCUUUGGUGUUAAAGGCUAGAUACUUCCCUAAUUAUUCUUUCCUUGAGGCAAAAAAAGGCGGGAGAGCUUCUUGGGCUUGGUCAAGCCUUCUGAAGGGAAGAGAUAUUUUAUUAAAUGGAGCUCAUUGGCAGAUAAUGAAUGGCAAGGAGAUUAAAGUGUGGGGGGAUCGUUGGGUUCCAGCUCUCCCAUUGGGUAGGCCUACUCAUUUGGGGUCGGUCCAUGUUUCCCGAAACUUGAGGGUGGAGUCUCUGAUUAAUCCGGUGACUAGGGUUUGGGAUGUUGAUUUUUUAAAACCUUUUCUUGAGCAACCCGAGUUAGAGGCCAUAUUGGACUUGCAUAUUGGUGAUUCCUCGAGAAGUGAUCGUUUGAUUUGGCCGUUUGAGAAAAAAGGGAAGUUCUCGGUUAAGUCGGGAUAUCACUGGGCUAUUGAUAGAUACCUCUCCCCUCCCAACUGUUCUUUAUCCCUCAUCCCUACUUGCUUCUGGAAGUUGGUUUGGAGCUUAAAAACUCCCCCAAAAAUAAGAAGCUUUAUGUGGAAGACUCUCCAUGGGGCACUUGCAACAAUGGAAAAUCUCGCACAAAGGAGAUCGGCCCAGUCCCCACUUUGUCCAAUUUGUCAAUUACAAGAGGAAACAAUCGAACACAUCUUUCUGCAGUGUCCCUGGGUAAGUGUUAUCUGGCGUGGAGGUUGUUUCAGUUUGAGGGUGGGUAUUUCGGCUACAGUGUCGUGGGCUCAUUGGCUGCUGCAGGUGUUUACUUCGGUGAAGGGCUUAAAGGAUGUGAGUCUAAAGAUGUUUUCAUAUAUUGCUUUUACAUGCUGGAAUAUCUGGAAGUCUAGAUGUAAUUUGCUCUUCAACAACCACCAGAUUAAUCCAAGGCAGGUGAUCUUUGCCUCUUCCCUCUCGGCUUCUUCUUACACUGCUGCUCAUCUAGCUCUGUCGCCCGAGCCUAGCACGGGUCAACAUGAGUCUAGGGUUGGAAUUAGGUGGAGUCCACCGAACAUGGGCAGUGUGAAAAUAAAUGUGGAUGCUAGUUAGAAUCUCAAGAGCAAGUCGGGCUUCAUUGAGGUGGUGGCGCGGUGUGAGGAGGGUCGGUUCCUGGCGGCAGAAAGGUAUAGUGGGAAGGCGUCUAGUGCAGAUAUGAUGAAGGCUCUGGCUAUUCUGAAUUGGUGUAGAUUUGGAAAAAGUAGGGGAUGGAGCUCCGUUAUUAUUAAAUCUGAUUCAUUGGAAUCAAUUUCUUGUCUAAAGGAUAUGGCAAGGAAUGGCAGUUGGGAUGCCUUUCCUAUCUUGGUGAAAUGUUGCAGCUUAGGUAAGGAUUUUCCUGACUGCCGCUGGUCUUGGGUUCCAAGAUCGGCCAAUUCAGCGGCGGACUAUUUAGCGUCGAGUAAGUGUAGGGAAGCUUGUGAUCAGAUUUGGGUCAAUAGACCCCCAUCUUCCCUUGUUCAUGUUCUAUGUAAUGACGGCCUUCCAUGCCCCCCUUAGCUGUCCUUUUGGGUUAUGCGAUGUGGGACGCUUUAGCAUUAGAUGCGGCGUAGUGGUAUUGUUGUGAACCACUCGUAUUACUUUCUUUGCUGUUAUUGGUGUCUUGCCUCUAGGUAGGCUUCCUUCCUUGUAUUUGCUUGCCAUCUUUGCCUUUUAAUGUUACCAGGUUCCCAAAAAAAAAAAAAAUAGAUAAAUAGGUCCUUGGAUUUGUCCAAUGUCAAUCAUUUUGAUCAUUCCAUAAAAAAUUUGUCAAUAUCCUCGUUAAAUUGUCACGUGAAAGACCACGUAAUCACCUUUCAAGGGUAUUUUUGUCAAACCAACUCUUUAGUUAGCAACAAUGUUGAGAAAAAUUUCACGAAAUCACUACUAUGAAACUAUUUAUUAGUGUCGCUAUGAUAACUUACAAAAAACGUAUAUUACUGUCAAAUAUGAAGAAAAAUCCGACAAAAAAUAAAUGCAGUGGCGAAUAUAAUAAGCGACAGAAUUGUCAGCGUCAGGAAAUGAAUUUUCUAUCGUUUGUUCGAAAAAAAAAGAAUUAAUUGACAACUAAUUGAAUCACAUUAUUAUGCACGUGCGAAAAAACUUUUUUAUAACCGGUAAUACGUGCCUCUUAAUAUGUUUUGAACGUGUUUAAAAAUAGAGAAAAUAAUAUUUAAUAAACAAUCAGAUUAUUGCUAGUCUAUAAUGAGAUACUAUUUAUAUAGAGAAAAAAAAAAUUCUAUAAAAGGAAUUAGUUAUUAAAAAAAACACUGUUUAUAUGACGAAAUACCCCUACAUUAUUUGAUGCAUUAUUUUGGAUUGCUUUUGAUUUUUUGUUUGGAGGGCAUUUCUAUCCACCCAUCUUAACCAAAUUAACACUGCACUGAACUAUCAUUUUCGGUUGAACAAUCUAAUAUGAUAUCGACAAUUUUUUUUCAAUGUGGAAAAUAGGAAAAAGUUAUCACACAUUGAGUCCCGGUUUGAACUCGUCAAUCAAAUCCAACAAAUAGUGCCCACCCAUAAUCUAAAUCAAUCUCAACACGUUUAGUUUGCUCCAAAAUCUCAUAAACACCACUUGUAUUCUCAUUUUUGUUUUUUAACGGCAGAAGCAAUACCUGCGUGGUUUUUGUACCCAAGAACCAACACAGUGUAUGUGAUAUAUGUACUCAUGCAAAGCCACCUCAAAAUGGACAGGAGGGCUGGGGCAAGAAGGGCGUGAAGGUCUUAGUUCCUUUCCCUAUUUUUGUGUAUGAACAUGAUCAUCCAACUGCUAAGCCUUGGAGAUACUACCCUUGCCGUACCAAAAGAUCCAAACCAUAUGUAAGACUAAAAGUACACAAGUUUUCGAUUCAGAUAAUUUCAAUUGACCACCAUGAGGAAAAUGUCUCUUAAUGCCAUGGGAAAUAUAUAUGUUUCUUAAUAACGUUUGAUGAAGUCUCUUCAAAUAUAUUGAUUUCAUUUACGGAAUUGAUAACAAGAGGAACUCCAAAAAAAUUAUAAUACGAACUUACAGAAUUAUCAUUUGAAGACAAAAAUUUGUGAGCGACUCAAACUUGGACUUGCUGGUUACCACCACCAACAACAUCAUGCCCCCUCCAGUCCACUGUACCAGCUCAAUAAAGCACCAAGACAUGACAUUACCACUUAAACAUUUGACAUACUGGCAGAUGGGAGACGCUAUACACUGAAAAAGGAGCAUGUAUUCUUCUGUAAGUUGGCGCAUCCUAACGUAAAUUAUACAUGCUCCAAAAUAAACAAAAAACCAGCUUUCUGGAUUACAUUUAAAAUACGAUCUCGCAGGUAUAGGUUCAUAGCUAAUAUCUUAUAUCAUGCAAAAGUUUCAACAGUACCGUACACUGGAUCAGAAAAACUUCUAAGAACAACCAAACCCUGUACUAAAACAAAUGGAACCCUGGAGAUGCAACUUUGAGACGGUAUGCAAAUCUCUAUAGUCCUCACUUACAUGUUCAAGACAGAUAUGUCCAGGGAGCAAAUGGAAGAAAGUUUAACCUAUGCUCCCUCCCACCAUCCACACUCCCUUAGAACACCAUGUUUUGUAACCAAUCUAACCAAUUAUACGAUAUAUAUUAUCAAUUGGACAAUUGUAAGCUAAAUCCUACAGGCAAUAAUCAUUAUAACAGUGUCAAUUGAUGGUCAAGCAAUCUUCUGAGACAGAAAUAUGAAAAGCCAAACUCCGCCUAUAACCUCCUUUACUAUCCAUGAGAAGCAAGACAUUUUGGUGGUAAAUCAUUUUUCUAACCCGAAACCCUUCCCAAAAUGUUGAAAUUUCCAGGUUUUCAAGACAUGAAUAAUUGGUCACUUCCUUCACAUGAAAAAUUGGAUCUUGGUUAUAUAAGGCAUAGCUAGCAGCGAAGCAGCAAGUGGUAACCAAAGAAUACACACCCAAACCAAUAAAGUAAUUCCAACCAAUGAAAAUUAGCCGUAUACAAAUUCAUCAAUGAACUCCAUGGAAAGAACCAAAACAUAGAGUAGCGUAAAGGAGCACUUAAAUCCUAUGAAACUUUUAUCUACUAAGUAAAUUUUACCUGAAAUCAAUGUCACUAUUCCUUGUGUGCAAAUUGCAACCGGAUUUGUCUGCCAUCCAGAACCUGAAAAGAACACAAACAUGAAACAAUAAUACCACUUUUCAUUUCUAAGAAGGUAGCGGGCUGAUUUCAAGCUUUCCACACAUGCCAAUUACAAAGAAAUUAAUCAUGAUAGAUGAAACUACCUGACCAUCCAUCUCCUUGAGAGCAGUGGUGGCUUCACUUUCAGAAGUAAACUUCACAAAUCCAUAACCUCUCGAUUUCCCACUCACGUGAUCACAUAUAACUUUAACUGUUUAAUACGAUGACCCAAUUGCUCAAGUAAGUACAUGGUAUCAUUACAUCAUCCACAAGAAAAUAAAGAUCUACAAAUAUAACAACCACAAAGAGUUUAAUGUUACCUUCAAUUAUUUCACCAUGUUUUCCAAAAGCUUCCUUAAGAACAGGUUCGUUUGUAUCCCAGGAAAGUCCUGCAUAUUACAGACAACUUAAGCUGUAGUGUAAUUACAAUAUCAAAAGCCUUUGAAGUUAAAAUCCAAAAAUUCAAUGUUAUAUCUUUCAUCAACAAUUCAAAUACAAAUGCGAUAUUCUAAACUGCUCUUAUCUGCAGUGAAGGGGGUUCAAAUUCCGGUGCAAGAGUGCGGGCACACCGCCCGUUGCCAAUUCUGCAAACCCUUUAUAGUGAUUGAUUUAGCUAGUGAUAAGUUUUCAACCUGGGAUUGGCGGAGGUGGCUAGAGCAGUGCACUCCCCCUCUGCACCCAAGUUCGAGUUUUCUUCGACAGUUUAGAUGAAUUUAGCGUAAAUUAUCCGUAUUGUUUGUCCAAAAAAGAAGGCUUCGACCACAAAAUUUAACUCAAAUAAAAUGGACCCAGAAGAAAAUGAAAAACAAAACUCAAAAAGAAAUAAAACGGAGGAAAGGGAUAAGUUUGGCAGACCUGAAACGAACAAUUUUGGAGCAGGAGUGGCGAGUGAGUAAAAUCCUGGCCAAGACAGACAUGCGCAGAAUUCCAACUACGCCAUUUGCGCAUCUCAUUUCACCUUACCCUGCGCCGGUCUAUUGGGAAGAAGAUGGCUGCCAAACACCGCCGUCAUGAGCUUACUGAAGGCUCGUUUAUCCGGCUGUGGUUCAAGUAAAAUGAGCUAGGCGAGCUGGGUUUGCUGGGUUUGUUGGAGGAGAGAAAGGGCUUGCAAAUUUGGGCAAGGAAUUCUACCCAAAAACACCAAUUGUCAUUUAGUAUCAAGGAUUGGAUUGGGCUGAUCAACUCCAAAGGUGCAUUGAAAGUAAAGUUGGACGAAUUUUCAUUCUGAAGCGAUUAAAGUGAGAAAGAACUCACAAAUCCUAUCAUUUUAAGGAGGUGUCAAAAUGGUCCAUAAGUUUAACAUAACUCCUUACUUUAUUCUCUGAUAAUGAAAAUCAAUAGAAGUAGUCCAUGAAUUUAUCAAUAAAUUAUUUUGGUUCUUUUGUCAAUACAUUCAUUAAAUUGUCACAUUAAUAGCCACAUGAUGUGAUCACUUUUUACAGCAUUUUUGUUAACCCAACAUCUUAAUGGAAAUAUUGACAAGUUUUUCGUGAAAUAACCAAAAUAAUUUAUAAUAAAUAAACUCAAGAACUACUUUUAUCGAUUUCCAUCGUCAAGAAUCAAAAUAAGAAAUUAACCAAUUUCAUAAACUAUUUUAACUAAAAAAACCUUUUUUGGAUGAAUCUAGGGUUUUCCUGCACGUAGGCGAUGACUAAUCCCUUGAGCCAAGUCGAACCCCAUUCGGGAGCAAGAUCUCCCAAUGUUGACUUCUCCAUUCACAAGGCUCGAACUUGAGACUAGGCCUGGCAAACGGGUCGUGUCAGUCGUGUUCGUGUCGUUUUCGUGUAACACCUGUUAUCUUAAUGGGUCGUGUCGUGUCACACCCGUUAUCUUAACGGGUCCUUAACAGGUCGUGUCACUUUACCCAACGGGUAAAGUGACCCGACCCGUUAUGACCCGUUAUGACCCGUUAAGAAAAAUAUAUUUUUUUUCUUAAAUUUGCACAUACCACACAUUGCCACAUAAAUAUUACUUCAAAACAUUAAAACACAUUUGUCGUUUAAGUACUACAUCUACACUAAAAAAUAAGAGCCUAAUAAAAAAAUAAUACAUACACUACUAAUCUAUUACAAAUUUUAAAUGUGCAAGGAUAUGCAAAAUGAAACAGUUUUUGUUUUCAAGGUUGUGAAAUCUUUCUCAAAAGUUUAAACCUCAAUUUACAAAAUCCUCGAUUUACAUCGAUCAUCAUUAAAUUGCAUUGGAACUUUGGCUUGAUCUAUUGCCUUCAAGAGUUAUGUUGAUGAUAUUUUCAGUAAGGUUUUCCACGUCAUAACUAUCUUCUGCAUAAACUAAGCAUAGAAAAACCAAACAUUAAAAAUCAUUCAAAUUAUGAGAAGUUUACCAAAAUAAUUAUGAAAAAAAUAAAAACAAUAGUACUAUACCAUACUUUUAUUAAGUAUAAACAUAAGAUUUUGUGGUAUCCACUAAUGUAAAUAUUUUUAAAUUGAAGAUCGAAUUCAAUCAUUGUAUUCAUAUAAGGUCAAGGAGUGUAGUUCUAAACAAUCAUCAAAAUCGGAGUUAAAUUAACCGUUAAAUCGUGAUUUUUCGUGUAUAACCGUCGAAAAGUUUUGUCCCGUUACUUGCUCUCUGAAUGUUUUUGUUUUUGCAAUUUUUGGCGUAUGCGAUCUCGAAAUAUAUAUAAACAUGUUUGACGGUUGGAUCAUUGAAACUAGUUUCGUAGAAUGAGUAUCCCAUUAAAACAAUAGAUUCACUAAUACUUAAGAGUUUAUUCAUACUUUUAUUAAGUAUAACAUAAGAUUUUGUGGUAUCCACUAGUGUAAAUAUUUUAAAUUGAAGAUCGAAUUCAAUCAUUGUAUUCAUAUAAGGUCAAGGAGUGUAGUUGUAAAAAAUCAUCAAAAUCGGAGUUAAAUUAACCGUUAAAUCGUGAUUUUUCGUUAUAACCGUCGAAAAGUUUUGUCCCGUUACUUGCUCUCUGAAUGUUUGUUUUUUGCAAUUUUUGGCGUAUGCGAUCUCGAAAUAUAUAAAAAUAUGUUUGACGGUUGGAUCAUUGAAAUUAGUUUCGUAGAAUGAGUAUCCCAUCAAAACAAUAGAUUCACUAAUACUUAAGAGUUUAUUCAUACUUUUAUUAAGUAUAACAUAAGAUUUUGUGGUAUCCACUAGUGUAAAUAUUUUAAAUUGAAGAUCGAAUUCAAUCAUUGUAUUCAUAUAGGGUCAAGGAGUGUAGGUGUAAAAAAUCAUCAAAAUCGGUGUUAAAAUGACCGUUAAAUCGUGAUUUUUCGUUUAUAACCGUCGAAAUAUUUUGUCCCGUUACUUGAUCUCUGAAUGUUUGUUUUUUGCAAUUUUUGGCGUAUGCGAUCUCGAAGUAUAUAUAAACAUGUUUGACGGUUGGAUCAUUGAAACUAUUUUCGUAGAAUGAGUAUCCCAUCAAAAUAAUAGAUUCACUAAUACUUAAUAGUUUAUUCAUACUUUUAUUAAGUAUAAUAUAAGAUUUUGUGGUAUCCACUAGUGUAAAUAUUUUAAAUUGAAGAUCGAAUUCAAUCAUUGUAUUCAUAUAAGGUCAAGGAGUGUAGCUGCAAAAAAUCAUCAAAAUCAGAGUUAAAAUGACCGUUAAAUCGUGAUUUUUCUUUUUUAUAACCGUCGAAAAGUUUUUGUCCCGUUAAUUGAUCUCUGAAUGUUUGUUUUUUGUAAUUUUUGACGUAUGCGAUCUCGAAGUAUAUACAAACAUGUUUGACGGUUGGAUCUUUGAAACUAGUUUCGUAGAAUGAGUAUCCCAUCAAAACAAUAGAUUCACUAAUACUUAAUAGUUUAUUCAUACUUUUAUUAAGUAUAAACAUAAGAUUUUGUGGUAUGCACUAGUGUAAAUAUUUUAAAUUGAAGAUCGAAUUCAUUACCUGUAUUCAUAUAGGGUCAAGGAGUGUAGUUGUAAAAAAGCAUCAAAAUCGGAGUUAAAAUAACCGUUAAAUCGUGAUUUUUCGUUUAUAACCGUCGAAAACUUUUGUCCCAUUACUUGAUCUCUGAAUGUUUGUUUUUUGCAAUUUUUGGCGUAUGCGAUCUCGAAGUAUAUACAAACAUGUUUGACGGUUUGAUCAUUGAAACUAGUUUUGUAGAAUGAGUAUCCCAUCAAAACAAUAGAUUCACUAAUACUUAAGAGUUUAUUCAUACUUUUAUUAAGUAUAACAUAAGAUUUUGUGGUAUCCACUAGUGUAAAUAUUUUAAAUUGAAGAUCGAAUUCAAUCAUUGUAUUCAUAUAGGGUCAAGGAGUGUGGUUGUAAAAAAUCAUCAAAAUCGGAGUUAAAAUGACCGUUAAAUCGUGAUUUUUCGUUUAUAACCAUCGAAAAGUUUUGUCCCGUUACUUGCUCUCUGAAUGUUUGUUUUUUGCAAUUUUUGGCGUAUGCGACAUGUUUGACGGUUGGAUCGUUGAAAUUAGUUUCGUAUAAUUCGUAUCCCAUGAAGUUCAAUAGUGUGUGUGUGUGUGUAUAUAUAUAUUUAUUUAUUAAGUAGAUUUAAAUCUAUUUAUUUUGUAUGUAUAAUUAUUAUAGUUUUUAGGGGUAUAAAAUUUAAUAUAUAUAUAUAUAUAUAAUUAUUAUAGUUAAUAUUUUGGGUAUAAUUAUUAUAGUAUAUAUAAUUAUUAUAAUUAUUAUAGUUAAUUUAAUAUAUAUAUAUAUAUAUAUAAUUAUUAUAGUUUUUAGGGGUAUAAAAUUGUUAAAUUAAUAUAUAUAUAUAAUUAUUAUAGUAUUUUUUUAGGGUUAUAAAUUAUUAAAUUAAUAUUCUGCUUAUCGUGUAUCGUGUUACCCACGUGUAUACCCGAACAAACCCGUUAUCUUAACAGGUGCUUAUCGGGUUACCCGAUAAUAACCCGUUUCGUUAUCGUGUCGACCCGAACACCUGUUAAUUUCGUGUCGUGUCGUGUCGGGUUAUCGGGUCGUGUCAGGAAUUGCCAGGCCUGCUUGAGACCUUGCUUAAGAAGAACAAACUUCUUAACACUUGAACCACCAAGCAUUGGUACUAAAAAAAACCUUUUGACAACACUAGAAAUGAUAAAAUUCCUACAUGAGUAAUACAUCUUCAACCUCAAAGAUGAAAAUAUUUUUAUCAUUUCCGCCAUCAACAAACCUUGAAUAUAACCAGAGACAUAGAGUAGAAUUAUCUCCCUUCUUUUAUUCACGUCCCUCUUAUUUGAACAAAAUUACAUCAAUAUUUUAUAUUAAUUUUUUGUAAAGAAAAAAAAAAGACAAAAUAAAUAAUGUAAAAAGAGAAAAUGAAGAAGGAUGGAAAGAGAAAGAAAGAAAAUCCUAAUCCUAUGACAAGUUACUCAGUAAUCAACUAGUUUGAGUUAUUCAAUCAACUCCUUAACAAACCUUGAAUAUAACAAAGUUACGCAGUAAUCAACCAGAUUGACUUAUUCAAUCCACUCAAAUCAGCGCAAGUGAUUAAGAGUUAAGAAAGGUGCUAAAUAAGGCAAAGGGAAUAUGGCAUAAAACAGGAAAUCAUAUGCCUGAGAAAAGCAAAAAGGAGGUUCCUUUCUUCAAAAGCAUUCGAUAAAGCAACCCAUCAACAAAUAGCACCUCAAAUCAAAGGGAAUAAGAGAAUCUCACAUCUCAUCAUACACACAUACCAAACGGAAGUAAUGCCAGAAACAAGGGGUUUCAUAAAUGGAUUCCAACAAGAUCAAUAAACCUAAAACUUGAACAUCAUCAUCACAUAAGAUUAUUGGAAUUUCAAGUCUUGGUAUCUCUUUUCCCUACAACCAACAAAGACAUAGACCUGCAUACAGAUUACAUACAAAUGGGGAGGGUCACGAACUAAAUCUAAACAUGGAGGUUUGAUUCAUAAAAAGCUAAACAUUUGGUGGGUUGAUUUGAUGGAGAAACCUAAGCCUUCUUGGGAGACUUGG
Molecule: long non-coding RNA, 40377 nt
Filed under: Malus domestica (apple)
Lineage: Eukaryota; Viridiplantae; Streptophyta; Magnoliopsida; Rosales; Rosaceae
Description: long non-coding RNA (MDOM_LNC018382)
Source: RNAcentral